GGGGAGAAGGGCACAGUCAGCACACUCGAGCCGCCAGAGCACUCGGGCCGGGAGGCUGCUAUCCCGCCCUGCUGGGGGCUCACCUGGGAGCGGCAGGUCAAGGCGUUGAAGAGGUCGAAGAGCACAAAGCAGGUCACUGGCUCUCUCAGCACAGGGGUGCCUGAACCUGUGGGGCCACAGAAAGGUGACCCAUGGAAAGACCCCCCCCCCCCCUGCCUACAGAGGAGAAAAGACAGUCUCUUCAGACUGGAUGGCUACAGGUAAGGGUGAAAUCGAAACAUUCUCUAACACCACACACAGAGACAAACUCAAAAUGGAUUAAAGACCUAAAUGUAAGACUGGAUACUGUAAAAAUCCGAGAGGGGAACAGGAAGAACACUUGACAUAAACCACAGCAACACUUUCUCUGAUCCUCCCUAAUGAAAGUAACAAUGAAAAUAAACACGUGGGGCCUCCUUAAACUUGCUUCAGCGUGUGAAAUGUAACACAGCAGGGGCUUCUGUGAGCUUGACGGUCGUCCAGGAAGGAAGGGCCCGAACCUGGAAGCUUUGGCACCUGCUGGCCCAGGCCUCCCAGGGCUGGCUGACCCUCAGGCCCAGCAGACCUUGGUCCAAACGGUAAGUCUUGUCACUUCGUAAAGCCAUUUUAGUGUCCUUGACCAAUGGCAUUCCUGCUGAGAUGCAAGAGGCUUCGUUGCCUGGAUGAAUACAGGGCGGGCUUUCAAGCCCUGAGACCCUGAGUCGAGGAGCUUGAAUUUCUUUCCCGUGCGUUUUUAAUUGGAGGAUAAUUGCUGAACAGUGUUGUGUUGAUUUCUGCUGUACAGCGCCGUGAAUCGGCCGUGAGCAUGCACAUACUGCCCCCUCCUGAACCAGCGUCCUCCCCGGCUAGGUCAUCACAGAGCUGAGCUCCCCGAGCUAUGCCGCAGCGCCCCACUAGAUGUCUGUCUUACGCCGGUCAAGUGGAUGUUCUGGUGCUACUUCCAAGAGCUGGGUUCUCACGGAACAUUCCUCUGAGGACUUUUCCAGUUGUCCUUGAUAUUUCCAUGCAAUGAGGAGUGUCCAGUUUUCAAGUCUUAACAGCUACUUCUGGGGACUUGGCCCCCAUCUCUGGGAUCUGAAUGGGAGUCAUGGCCCAUCUUCCUGUCUUAGAAGCGUACAGUGAUCUCUGCUCCCCUUGGGGACUCCUCUCUUUCUCGCCUUACAGUUUGCCACUUGGAGUGGAGGCUCAGCAGGCAGGGUGACGGUGCUGCCAGUUCUUUCCAGACCUCUGUCAAAAGGGAGUGAGCAGGGAAGACCACCGCUCCCCCACAAGCCUGGGCGUUCUUCGUGCGUGCUGUCCACAGCCCUCCACUGUGCUCGGAACCCUUUGCCGGUGCACUAAUCUCUUUGGAGAUAGACAUGUUAAUUUUCUUUUGCAUAAUACUUAGUACAAUGUCUGAAUUAAUUAUUAACAUUUAAAAUAUUUCCUUUCUUAACUCCCCCAUUUGCUUUGCUCACAGCCUAUUAUAUUCCUUCAUUUGGCAGAAUUCUGCAACCUCACCCACUACUGAGAUUGCUCGGUCCCUGAUGUAUGGCUAUUGAUUUGUUUCUGGUGGUAGCUUGUCCUAAAAUGUGUGUAACAAGCAGGUGUUUUAUGAUAAAGUUGUUGUGUAGUGCAUGCUCUGUGUGGAAUGCAGAGAAAGAUCCAGAUUCCGCGUAACAGUGCCCCAAAUAUAAGCAGCCAUUGUUCAAAUCA
Capra hircus (goat) is the source of this 1734-nucleotide long non-coding RNA. RefSeq lists it as uncharacterized. The transcript is spliced from 2 exons. NCBI's taxonomy places the organism in Eukaryota, Metazoa, Chordata, Mammalia, Artiodactyla, Bovidae. The record is from RefSeq and is a predicted model, not a curated record.